This 89-nucleotide small nucleolar RNA is filed under the name Castor canadensis (American beaver). RNAcentral describes it as "Small nucleolar SNORD12/SNORD106 (ENSCCNG00000012962.1)". It matches the Rfam family "Small nucleolar SNORD12/SNORD106". From Rfam's summary of the family: This family belong to the C/D class of snoRNA which contain the C (UGAUGA) and D (CUGA) box motifs. This family includes the human ortholog of mouse snoRNA HBII-99 and human snoRNA U106. In humans both HB11-99 and U106 snoRNAs share the same host gene. Lineage: Eukaryota; Metazoa; Chordata; Mammalia; Rodentia; Castoridae. The record is from Rfam by way of RNAcentral.
GCUGGCAUAAGUGAUGACUGAACUUUUUUCCCCGACAGAUCGACCAUGUUGAUCUAAAUUCUAAGCCAGUUACUGUCUGAUGUGCCAGC